This 754-nucleotide long non-coding RNA is filed under the name Malus domestica (apple). RNAcentral's name for it is "long non-coding RNA (MDOM_LNC001625)". The record is from RNAcentral. Lineage: Eukaryota; Viridiplantae; Streptophyta; Magnoliopsida; Rosales; Rosaceae.
UCUCUCUCUCUCUCUCUCUCUCUCUCUCUCUCUCUCGUGAUGCUUAUUUAAUUUAGUAUAAUUUAUGAUGUUAGUUUGUAAGAGGUCGCACUUGGUGCGAUGGCAAGUGCCUUCGCCCAUGAGCGGUAGGUCUCGGGUUCGAGACUUGGGAGCAGCCUCUCCAUAAAUGGGGGUAAGGCUAGCCGACAUUCACCUCUCCCAGACCCUGCGUAAAGCGGGAGCCUUGUGCAUUGGGUACGACCUUUUUUAUGAUGUUAGUUUGUAAUUUGUACACGCUGUUGAAUGCAAAAUAUAUUUUUUGUUCAAUUUUUAAUUCCUGGGUUUUGUAAUUACAUUACUGGGUUUGGAGUUGGACGCUAUUUUUGGGUUCUUAUUGUAAUCAAUUUGAAAUAAGGGGAUAAUAUUGAGAUGAUUGGACCAUGAAAGUUUUAUUUGUUUGGCUGCUCUUAUCAGAAAAUGUAAACACGAAGUGUUGAUAUUUCUUGCUAUGCCUUGACUGAGAGCAUCUUGAAAUUUGAAUGCGAAGCAAUUAACUAUUUGUGUAUUCGGUUUUUCAAUUCAAUAUCAGAAAUAUUGCUAAUAAUUGAUACCCUGAUGCACCCGGAGAUUUUACAGGGUUUUAUGUCUGCUUGAGUCAUUGAUACUCCAUUACUCCCAGCAGGGUUAAUUUCACUAUAAGGAUUGUCUGGUUUUUAUUGUUAGGGCCACAGGAGAGCAUUUCUGCAUGUUCUCCUGACGAGAGUACUCUUUCACU